Small nucleolar RNA from Bombus pyrosoma, 216 nucleotides. RefSeq annotates it as small nucleolar RNA U3. The transcript has a single exon. The record is from RefSeq and is a predicted model, not a curated record. NCBI's taxonomy places the organism in Eukaryota, Metazoa, Arthropoda, Insecta, Hymenoptera, Apidae.
AAGAUCGUACUUCACAGGAUCAUUUCUGUAGUACAUCUAUCGUCAACUUCAACCUACAGUUGAGUCGAUGCAGCCACGAUGACGAGUCGUGGCACCUUUCCUUGAGCGUGAGGAAGACUCGAGAAANUCGACUUUGUUUCGAUUUUUCAGUCAUCGAUGAUCGUUCACCUCUUGUACUCAGUACAUGAGGGAUGGGAAAGGUGCAUUCUGAGUGGU